CACUUGGAGUGUGGUGCUCUUACACUGCCAAUUUCCUGGUGGCUAACCCACUGUGCUUCCUGCUGGAAAAAAAAGUGCUCUGGCAUCUGGAGCUCCCCUCUAUGCCCAAGUGAGCUUGAGGCGUGGAUGAGUUUCUCCUCCCUGCUCAGGGGCAGCUGAGGCGCCACUGCUUUUUUGUUUGGCUUCCCUGUAUUUCAUCGCACAGCAGUUACAGCUUGCUUCAGCCAGUGGGCUAGCAGCUCGACCUUUCUACCCAUAGGAUACACUCCUCUCUGCAGCAGGGCAGAGUGUCUGAAGAACCUGAGUGUGGUGGGUACAACUGCAGCUUGUGGCUGCCAACUCCAGCCCUUGGUGUUCCAGCUCCUGCCAGUGGGCUUCAGGCUGCACUCUGAGCCCAGACACCCAUCUUCUUGGCCUCUACUGCAGCUAACAGAGAGCGGCGUCCACCCCUCUUCUCCAUGGUCAGAGAACCUGCUGAGAGGUGCCACGCCCUUCCCAAGGACCUGUGCUGGUUUUAUCCUGUUUUUACCUUUUGGUUUCAUGGUGUGUGUGUUGGUGCGUGAGUGAGGGUGGGCAUUGUUUAUUUAUUUAUUUUUAAAUGCUCAAACACUAUUACCGACCCUUUAAUUAUUAUUCCCCCCCCCCCUCGUCUUUUUUAGGGCAGAGUGUAGCGACGAAGCGUGUCGGGCGACAACAGUGGCAAUCUCCUCUGUGGGUCGGCCCAGCGUUCCGUUGGUAAGCCUCGGCCCUCGAAGGGCCCCCCCCCCAUUUUUUUCCCCCUCCCCAGCGUGAUUGAGUCCCUUGUUUUUAAUACAUUUUAGCAUUAAUAAAAUUGUGUUUAGACCGGUUACCACGUCUUGGCCU
This is a long non-coding RNA of Oryzias latipes (Japanese medaka), 864 nucleotides long. RefSeq lists it as uncharacterized. The record is from RefSeq and is a predicted model, not a curated record. Lineage: Eukaryota; Metazoa; Chordata; Actinopteri; Beloniformes; Adrianichthyidae.